AACGAACGCUGGCGGCAUGCCUAACACAUGCAAGUCGAACGAGACCUUCGGGUCUAGUGGCGCACGGGUGCGUAACGCGUGGGAACCUGCCCUUAGGUUCGGACUAACUCCCCGAAAGGGGUGCUAAUACCGGAUAAUGUCUUCGGACCAAAGAUUUAUCGCCUUUGGAUGGGCCCGCGUUGGAUUAGCUAGUUGGUAGGGUAAAAGCCUACCAAGGCGACGAUCCAUAGCUGGUCUGAGAGGAUGAUCAGCCACACUGGGACUGAGACACGGCCCAGACUCCUACGGGAGGCAGCAGUGGGGAAUAUUGGACAAUGGGCGAAAGCCUGAUCCAGCAAUGCCGCGUGAGUGAUGAAGGCCUUAGGGUUGUAAAGCGCUUUUACCCGGGAUGAUAAUGACAGUACCGGGAGAAUAAGCUCCGGCUAACUCCGUG
RNAcentral lists this ribosomal RNA (433 nucleotides) under uncultured bacterium. RNAcentral describes it as "partial 16S ribosomal RNA". It matches the Rfam family "Bacterial small subunit ribosomal RNA", at positions 29 to 507 of the family's 1533-position model. The record is from RNAcentral.